AUUCAGAUGACGAGUCCCAAAUGGGACGAAAUGGGCGUCCUGGAU
Molecule: non-coding RNA, 45 nt
Organism: Trichobilharzia regenti
Lineage: Eukaryota; Metazoa; Platyhelminthes; Trematoda; Strigeidida; Schistosomatidae
Source: Rfam